AGAGUUUGAUCAUGGCUCAGAUUGAACGCUGGCGGCAUGCUUUACACAUGCAAGUCGAGCGGCAGCGGCGGGGGCAACCCUGGCGGCGAGCGGCGAACGGGUGAGUAAUGCAUCGGAACGUGUCCCGUAGUGGGGGAUAACCCGCCGAAAGGCGGGCUAAUACCGCAUAUGCUCUACGGAGGAAAGCGGGGGGACCGCAAGGCCUCGCGCUAUGGGAGCGGCCGAUGUCCGAUUAGCUAGUUGGCGGGGUAAAGGCCCACCAAGGCGACGAUCGGUAGCUGGUCUGAGAGGAUGAUCAGCCACACUGGGACUGAGACACGGCCCAGACUCCUACGGGAGGCAGCAGGUGGGGUAAUUUUGGACAAUGGGGGCAACCCUGAUCCAGCCAUGCCGCGUGCGGGAAGAAGGCCUUCGGGUUGUAAACCGCUUUUAGUCGGGAAGAAAAGGCGCGGGCUAAUACUCCGUGUUCUUGACGGUACCGGCGGAAUAAGCACCGGCUAACUACGUG
RNAcentral lists this ribosomal RNA (508 nucleotides) under uncultured bacterium. RNAcentral's name for it is "bacterial SSU rRNA". It matches the Rfam family "Bacterial small subunit ribosomal RNA", at positions 8 to 507 of the family's 1533-position model. The record is from RNAcentral.